CCUACGGGGGGCAGCAGUGGGGAAUAUUGCACAAUGGGGGAAACCCUGAUGCAGCAACGCCGCGUGAGUGAAGAAGUAUUUCGGUAUGUAAAGCUCUAUCAGCAGGGAAGAAAAUGACAGUACCCGACUAAGAAGCCCCGGCUAACUACGUGCCAGCAGCCGCGGUAAUACGUAGGGGUCAAGCGUUAUCCGGAUUUACUGGGUGGAAAGGGAGCGUAGACGGCUGCGCAAGUCAGAAGUGAAAGCUCGGGGCUCAACCGCGGGACUGCUUUUGAAACUGUGUAGCUAGAGUGCAGGAGAGGUAAGUGGAAUGCCUAGUGUAGCGGUGAAAUGCGUAGAUAUUAGGAGGAACACCGGUGGCGAAGGCGGCUUACUGGACUGUAACUGACGUUGAGGCUCGAAAGCGUGGGUAGCAAACAGGAUUAGAUACCCGAGUAGUC
RNAcentral lists this ribosomal RNA (440 nucleotides) under uncultured bacterium. RNAcentral's name for it is "partial 16S ribosomal RNA". It matches the Rfam family "Bacterial small subunit ribosomal RNA", at positions 338 to 795 of the family's 1533-position model. The record is from RNAcentral.